RNAcentral lists this ribosomal RNA (217 nucleotides) under uncultured bacterium. RNAcentral describes it as "partial 16S ribosomal RNA". It matches the Rfam family "Bacterial small subunit ribosomal RNA", at positions 28 to 250 of the family's 1533-position model. The record is from RNAcentral.
GAUUAACGCUGGCGGCGUGCAUGAAACAUGCAAGUCGAGCGCGGCACCUUCGGGUGUCUAGCGGCGCACGGGUGAGUAACACGUGAGCAACCUACCUCCGAGUUCGGGAUAGCCCUGAGAAAUCAGGAUUAAUACCGGAUGGUGUCAUCUCGAGGCAUCUCAAGAUGAACAAAGGCGCAAGCCGCUCGAUGACGGGCUCGCGGCCUAUUAGCNGUUU